GUAGUCUGCAACUCGACACAUGAAGCUGGAAUCGCUAGUAAUCGCGAAUCAGAAUGUCGCGGUGAAUACGUUCCCGGGUCUUGUACACACCGCCCGUCACACCAUGGGAGUCAGUAACGCCCGAAGCCGGUGACCCAACCGAUAAGGAGGGAGCCGUCGAAGGUGGGAUCGAUAACUGGGGUGAAGUCGUAACAAGGUAGC
RNAcentral lists this ribosomal RNA (201 nucleotides) under uncultured bacterium. RNAcentral's name for it is "partial 16S ribosomal RNA". It matches the Rfam family "Bacterial small subunit ribosomal RNA", at positions 1300 to 1500 of the family's 1533-position model. The record is from RNAcentral.